AAAUAACAUGUAUUGCUUUGUUUGCCCAGAUGCACUUUAUGUGGAUAUGCCAAACUUACAGUUCUAAAGGUUUCCUAGGAUCCCCAGGAUCCCCAGGCUCCCCAGGUUCCUCAGGCUUCCUAGGUUCCUCAGAAUCCCCAGGUUCCUCAGGUUCCUCAUGCUUGAGAUCGCUUCCUUCAGCUGCUGCAGUGAGGCAUGCAGUUUGUGCUUCUGGGACAUCAGGUCAGACAUCUUUUUCAGCAGCAACAUCUUCUCAGCUUCAUCCAGAGAGACCUGGAAAAUGAACAACCAAAGUCUGUUGGC
Long non-coding RNA from Tachysurus fulvidraco (yellow catfish), 303 nucleotides. RefSeq lists it as uncharacterized. Lineage: Eukaryota; Metazoa; Chordata; Actinopteri; Siluriformes; Bagridae. The transcript is spliced from 3 exons. The record is from RefSeq and is a predicted model, not a curated record.